AUGCCUCGAGGCGCCAUUGACCCAACCUCCGGCGUGCCACCAGACUUCCUUCCGCCGCCGCCCCUUGCUCCGGUGCGCCUCCCACCUGUACCAACCGGCGUCAGAGCCGUCCCUCGCCCUGGAUCGCACCGCCGCCACUGUCCCACGAUGGGGAUCGUGCCGCACGCAUCGUCCCACGAUGGGGAUCGCGCCGCAGGCACCGGGAUCGCGCCACUGCAACCGCCACCGCCCCACCUCCCAUCGUCGGGAUCCUGCUGCCGCGCGACAACCACCGGGAUCCUCCCACCGUGCGUCCUUCCUCCACCUGCUGCCGUGAACUUCUUCCACCCGCCACCGUGA
This 339-nucleotide ribosomal RNA is filed under the name Triticum aestivum (bread wheat). Its description in RNAcentral is "partial small subunit ribosomal RNA". The record is from RNAcentral. Lineage: Eukaryota; Viridiplantae; Streptophyta; Magnoliopsida; Poales; Poaceae.